UUCCCACUUUCCCUCUCUCUCCUCCAUCUCCCUUCAGUUGCCUACACCUCCCUCCUCCUUCACCGAUUCUCUUCCUCUCUUCAACCCAGCAAUGUCGUCGCAGUCCAGCCACCACCACCGCAGCGAGCCCCUCACGUUGAUGAUCGUCCCCUCUACCGAACCCAGCCACUCAUCUCCCCGAUAUGCCCCUCACGCAGCCCACUCUCUCUCACACGGUUUCCCCACAUUGCGGCCCAGAUCCACUGCCUAUAGUUGCGCAUCACUGUCCACGUGUACUCUGGACCUCCACCUCUCGGCUAUACCUUCCUUCUUAAGCCACGCCGACCUCUCAUACCCUCUCAAGCUAUCUCUCUCCCUCUCGGGUCUCCACUGUGCAACGCCAAAUCUACCGCCUUGCGCCACCCUCUAGCCACCAAGCUGCCACACAUGCCGUGACUCCACAACCCGUUGGUAAGCAUCUACCCUUUUUCUUCUCCCUCGAAUCCUCUUUCCUGUAGCCUUAGGAAGUCUUUUGACCCCAAGAGCCUCCGCUGUCAGCAGCUUUCAGUGGUCGCACAACCACCUCUGGCCUUCCCCUUCCCACUCCCGACAUCUUUUUCCUUCGAAACAGCCUAACCUGUGAGCUAAGGCCCACAUUUGGCCACUGCCCCGCCAUGCUGCCGCCACCCUCCACCGCGAGAAUCUCUCAACCAUCCAUUAGCACCCUAGAUUUGACCUCUUUUUCAAGAAAAACCCACAAAAGGCCCUCUAUCUCGCCCGUAUCCGUUGCUGCCCCGCUUCUGCUCCGCUACUUUUGGCGUCAUCUCGGUUUUCGUGUAGUGGGGAUAUCAUGUGGGUGCAUGUGUAUCAAGACCCCAAUCCGAGAUGGGGUAUUAUCUUGGUGGAGCUGUUUUGGUCAUUCAGGGGCUUAAUAAACUGAGUGACGUCUUUUGGGUUGUCGCUGGGCGACAAAGGGCUCAGACGAGACGGUAAUGCUCUCGUGCUGACUCUGUGGCCCCUCUGCUGGCGGGAGCUAGAGGAUGCUUGGUCACAUAUGCACUGGGCGCGAAGGUGGCAUCGCUCAUUACGAAGUCAUACGUAUGGACGUUACGCGUGGUGUGAUAAAGGGAGCUAGGGUGUACGGAUAGUCCUUAGGAGAGACCAUGGUGCAUGCGUAAUAAAAAGGUUGUGUUUUGGGUCAAAUGGAUUUUUGGUGUGAGUGUUUGGUUUAAACGUGUUAUUUUGGGAAAUGCUAGAAGAAAUGAUAUUGUGGUUUUUUGUUUGUAUGGCUGUUUUACUUUGUUGUUUGUAUAAACUCAUGUUUUAAACUCUUAGUUGUUGCAUGUUAAUUACUUAUCGAGAUUGCGAAAUCUCACUGUGGUAUUUCUACCUACGGUUUCGUUUUAUUGAUCCGUAAACUUUGAUGUAGAUGAGGUGUUUGAGCUAAAUCGGCUCUGCCGAAUGAGUGAUUUGGCUAGAGAUUCCUUCUAUUUGUAUUUGUCGCGGGACUUGUUACCGUUUUAUUUAUUUUCCCACCCGGAUGACUGUAUUAACCUCUUGGAGGACUUUGUUUCGGGUUGUAAAGUUUAAAAUUUUUUGGUGCUUAACUUUGACUACCUUUUAAUUUUCUUCUGUUAUUUAUGUUGCACACAUAUUGCAUGCUUGCACACACUAGCACAUGGCGAUAGGGUGUAUGAUCCGUGUGGUCAUUAUCUCGAUGUUACGACUUCUACCAAAUCACACUUGGGGGUCGAGUAAGGGUGUUGAUCCGGACCGGUUUUUUUCCGGAUCCGGUCCGAAACCCGGAAAUCCGGGUGCAUCCGGGCGGUUAAAAAAAUCCGGAUCCGGUUACGGAUCCGGUUAUGUGACCCGGUUAUCCGUAACCGGGUCCUUUAAAACAAAAAAAAACCCGCACGUCUUCGGUCGAAAUUGUCUUCGACAUCUUGGGCUUUACUCUUUUCUUCUCGAAUCGUUAGGGUUUACUCUCUUUUCUUCUCGAAUCCGUCGUCUCUCUCGGUCUUGAAUCCGGCUUCUCUCUCGGUCUCUCAGUCUCGCUUUCUCGUCUUCUCCAAUCCCUUCUGGCCUUCUCUCUCUUCUUCUCGAAUCCGUCGUCUCUCUCGGUCUCGAAUCCGCCUUCGAAGUGCUUUGUGCAUCUGGGUGAGACACGCGAAGGCUACCAUCCAUAUUCUCUCUCUCUCUAAGCUCUUAAGUGUACUUCACAAAGCUCUCAUCCUUGACAAAGAAGGCAAGUAAUCCAAAGAGUUGCAUUAUUGACAGUGAUUCAGGUGGAGUUUUGGAUCUGUUUGUUACUAACCAUCUUGAGCUAUCUCCCUGGGAUUAUUUAUGCUGUCUAUGCCAUCACCAAGUAGUGAACUUUAUUAUUUUGAGCAAUUGCAUGGAAGGGAACAGGCCAUACAUGAGUUGGAAAGGAAGAUGGAAGAAAAAGAUUGGGAGCUGAAAUAAAUUGGAGAGCAUUUCAAUGGCCAGGGCCUUAGCAGCCCGGGCUUUUUCAUGGUGAAUUAACACCUAGGCCAAAUAAAUUAACUAUCACAAAGGAUAGUGUAUAUUAAUUAGUUGUAAUAUAUAUGCACUGCAUUUCGGUUGUUUUUAAUCCUUUCUCUACAGGAUAUUAUGUACAAAAUAUACACGUAAGCAUGAAAGUAGUGCAUAUUAUGCAGUACUUUGGCAAGAACAACAUACACACUUUGGAUGAAUGCAUUUUAGCCUGUAAGCUGAAACUCCCACAUAUUGA
Molecule: RNA transcript, 2731 nt
Organism: Juglans regia (Persian walnut)
Lineage: Eukaryota; Viridiplantae; Streptophyta; Magnoliopsida; Fagales; Juglandaceae
Exons: 5
Source: RefSeq, a predicted model, not a curated record